Molecule: ribosomal RNA, 1639 nt
Filed under: Salmonella enterica
Lineage: Bacteria; Pseudomonadati; Pseudomonadota; Gammaproteobacteria; Enterobacterales; Enterobacteriaceae
Description: partial 23S ribosomal RNA
Rfam family: Bacterial large subunit ribosomal RNA
Source: RNAcentral
UGCGUACCUUUUGUAUAAUGGGUCAGCGACUUAUAUUCUGUAGCAAGGUUAACCGUAUAGGGGAGCCGGAGGGAAACCGAGUCUUAAUUGGGCGUUAAGUUGCAGGGUAUAGACCCGAAACCCGGUGAUCUAGCCAUGGGCAGGUUGAAGGUUGGGUAACACUAACUGGAGGACCGAACCGACUAAUGUUGAAAAAUUAGCGGAUGACCUGUGGCUGGGGGUGAAAGGCCAAUCAAACCGGGAGAUAGCUGGUUCUCCCCGAAAGCUAUUUAGGUAGCGCCUCGUGAAUUCAUCUCCGGGGGUAGAGCACUGUUUCGGCUAGGGGGCCAUCCCGGCUUACCAACCCGAUGCAAACUGCGAAUACCGGAGAAUGUUAUCACGGGAGACACACGGCGGGUGCUAACGUCCGUCGUGAAGAGGGAAACAACCCAGACCGCCAGCUAAGGUCCCAAAGUCAUGGUUAAGUGGGAAACGAUGUGGGAAGGCCCAGACAGCCAGGAUGUUGGCUUAGAAGCAGCCAUCAUUUAAAGAAAGCGUAAUAGCUCACUGGUCGAGUCGGCCUGCGCGGAAGAUGUAACGGGGCUAAACCAUGCACCGAAGCUGCGGCAGCGAACGUAUCACUUAAAGCGAUUCAGCGGGUUACGAUUGACGGAGCGAAGCGACGUCAAAGCGUAUACAAAGUCGAGUCGGUUUAAGGAUACGUUCGUUGGGUAGGGGAGCGUUCUGUAAGCCUGCGAAGGUGGCCUGUGAGGGUUGCUGGAGGUAUCAGAAGUGCGAAUGCUGACAUAAGUAACGAUAAAGCGGGUGAAAAGCCCGCUCGCCGGAAGACCAAGGGUUCCUGUCCAACGUUAAUCGGGGCAGGGUGAGUCGACCCCUAAGGCGAGGCCGAAAGGCGUAGUCGAUGGGAAACGGGUUAAUAUUCCCGUACUUGGUGUUACUGCGAAGGGGGGACGGAGAAGGCUAUGUUGGCCGGGCGACGGUUGUCCCGGUUUAAGCGUGUAGGCUGGUUUUCCAGGCAAAUCCGGAAAAUCAAGGCUGAGGCGUGACGACGAGGCACUACGGUGCUGAAGCAACAAAUGCCCUGCUUCCAGGAAAAGCCUCUAAGCAUCAGGUAACACGAAAUCGUACCCCAAACCGACACAGGUGGUCAGGUAGAGAAUACCAAGGCGCUUGAGAGAACUCGGGUGAAGGAACUAGGCAAAAUGGUGCCGUAACUUCGGGAGAAGGCACGCUGACACGUAGGUGAAGUGAUUUACUCAUGGAGCUGAAGUCAGUCGAAGAUACCAGCUGGCUGCAACUGUUUAUUAAAAACACAGCACUGUGCAAACACGAAAGUGGACGUAUACGGUGUGACGCCUGCCCGGUGCCGGAAGGUUAAUUGAUGGGGUCAGCGCAAGCGAAGCUCCUGAUCGAAGCCCCGGUAAACGGCGGCCGUAACUAUAACGGUCCUAAGGUAGCGAAAUUCCUUGUCGGGUAAGUUCCGACCUGCACGAAUGGCGUAAUGAUGGCCAGGCUGUCUCCACCCGAGACUCAGUGAAAUUGAACUCGCUGUGAAGAUGCAGUGUACCCGCGGCAAGACGGAAAGACCCCGUGAACCUUUACUAUAGCUUGACACUGAACAUUGAGCCUUGAUGUGUAG